This 1545-nucleotide long non-coding RNA is filed under the name Urocitellus parryii (Arctic ground squirrel). Its description in RNAcentral is "lncRNA (ENSUPAG00010001179.1)". The record is from RNAcentral. Lineage: Eukaryota; Metazoa; Chordata; Mammalia; Rodentia; Sciuridae.
GAAACUGAUUCUGCAUUCUGAGCUCCUUAAUAUGAUUUUUUAGGUCACAGUGUUCUAGGCAAAGCUCCCUGUUGAUGUACAUCUCUCAUGCAAGAUUUAGAUCACCUCUUUUCGGGCAGAGCUCCAUGGAAACACCGCCCAUGAUUUCUGAAAUGGAGUCUGAUUGGGUCCCCGUAAUGCCCGGCUGGAGUGGACAGCAAUCUCUGCAGUUGACACAUUGCUGGACAGUUGGCAAGCCUGAGACUACCAGAACCUACUCCUUGGAGAGGGAAGGAAGCUCCUUGACCCAUGCUCCACUUUGGGGGCAAAGGCUCUUCAGACCCUCUGAGUGCUGCCAGAAGUCCCUUGGGGAAAAGAGAGACCAGUGCCACAGCCUGGGGACAACAGUUGCACAACUCACCACAAGGCAACAGGGCAACAUGGAAGGAUGGUUCCAGCUCCUGGGGCCAGUGGAUAAAUGCCGACCCAGACUCUGGUCACAACGGAACAACCAACUCACUUAAAGAAAAUUAAUCCUCCAUUUUCUCGCCUGUCAAACUAGGAAAUGGGAUGCUUUGUAGACUAGAAAAGCACGUUUGGCAUCAUCUCUCACAACCUCUUUAUUGUAUACACUUGAAAUCUGAGCACCAGAGAUGGGGAAUCAUUUCUAAAAGACAAGACCCCUCCCUCAUGUUCAAGUUCUGCUUUCUCUUCUAGAUAAUCCCCAAGAUUUUCUUCAGCUCCAGGAAUCUAUUACUCUAAAGACAUAGUCCCCUAYCUGCUCUGGCUGCUGACUGUGGACCUCUGUUGGGACCCUUGACGACAUUGUGUCCAGCUAUUUCCCUCAUACAGAAAUCAUUAAUCUUAUGGAAUCCUGAGCAGAUGAUCUACUUAGCAAAGCUUCUGGAAGGCCUGAUGUAAUGCUUUUGAACACCCAGAGUUGCUUCAGGCAGAACCUCCAGAGAGGGAAUUGGGCAAGGCGACUUGGCCUUCUGACCACAUGCCAGUAACCAUCCAAAUACCUGUGCUCCUUGUGAAUCUCGGGUCCCGAAUAGCUUUGUGACCUUGAACAAGCCUCAUUCCCCUUCUGAGCCUCAGUUUCCUCAUAUUUAAAACUAGUGGUUAUACUAGAUGAUCCCUAAGGCACCUUCCAGCUCUGACAUUCCAUUACAGAAUAUUUCCCAAUCUUUUUAUUCCUUGGGGGAUUUUACUCAGAAACUAGGAGGAUGUUCUUCACCACAGGAAAUCUGGGAAUGCUUGAAGGAUUCUGGACUAUAAAACAAAUAUUAGAAAAGAAACCUAAGAAUAUUUUGUUUCCCUGUCCUUUGGGCUCAUAAGGUCCAUAUCAAAUGUUCACAAAAACUGCAUCUACAUUUUCAUGUGUAGAUGGGAAAGAUAGGUGUGAUGCCUAUGAUGGAAAUUGACCAGAUCCCAUCAGAGACAUAGAUCCUACCAUCCAAGCACUUAUCUACUAAGAAGCUAAUAUAUAUAUAUAUAUAUUCUGAAUACAAAGUAUGAGAAUUUAAAGCCAAUAAAAAGGAUUUAGAGGGGAAAGUGUCGAUGUGU